Molecule: ribosomal RNA, 253 nt
Filed under: uncultured bacterium
Lineage: Bacteria
Description: partial 16S ribosomal RNA
Rfam family: Bacterial small subunit ribosomal RNA
Source: RNAcentral
GACAGAGGGUGCAAACGUUGUUCGGAAUUACUGGGCGUAAAGCGCGUGUAGGCGGCUAUGUAAGUCGGGCGUGAAAUCCCACGGCUCAACCGAGGAACUGCGUCUGAUACUGGAAGGCUUGAAUCCGGGAGAGGGAUGUGGAAUUCCAGGUGUAGCGGUGAAAUGCGUAGAUAUCUGGAGGAACACCGGUGGCGAAGGCGGCAUCCUGGACCGGUAUUGACGCUGAGGCGCGAAAGCUAGGGGAGCAAACGGG